ACGCUCGACACCUACGGGAGGGCAGCAGUGAGGAAUAUUGGUCAAUGGGCGCUAGCCUGAACCAGCCAAGUAGCGUGAAGGAUGAAGGCUCUAUGGGUCGUAAACUUCUUUUAUAUAAGAAUAAAGUGCAGUAUGUAUACUGUUUUGUAUGUACUAUAUGAAUAAGGAUCGGCUAACUCCGCGCCAGCAGCCGCGGUAAUCUGAGCGGGCUGGCAAGGC
This 219-nucleotide ribosomal RNA is filed under the name uncultured bacterium. Its description in RNAcentral is "partial 16S ribosomal RNA". It matches the Rfam family "Bacterial small subunit ribosomal RNA", at positions 328 to 539 of the family's 1533-position model. The record is from RNAcentral.